ACCUUUGUGGCCUCCUCUGGACUCACUCCAGCAGGUCCAUGUUGGGGAUCCCAGAGCUGGAUGCAGCACUCCAGGUGGGGUCUCAGGAGAGCAGAGUAGAGGGUAAGGAGUAUAUGUGAAGGGAAUUUUUCAUGCACUACAGCAGAGGCACAGGAAAAAAAAAUACUGUACAUUCAGGUAGUUAAAAAUCCUCAGGAUCUCAACAAGCAGUCACCCAAGUCAGAUUGUCCAGUGUGAGACCAGUCUGGCUGCCUCAGCCAUUAAAAGUGCUGUUCUGCCUUAAAGCUGCUCUGAACCCAAAAAAGGGCAACCCCUGCCAUCAUUCGCUUUGGAGGCUAUGGAGAGGGAUGUCAGGUAUGGAGAGGGAUGUCAGGUAUGGAGAGGGAUGUCAGGUGUGGAGAGGGAUGUCAGGUGUGGAGAGGGAUGUCAGGUGUGGAGAGGGAUGCUCUGGAGCUGUAGCAGGAAGUGGUGAGGGAGGUGUCCCAGUGAUGCUGUGCACACCGAGGCUGACUCUUUGAACUCUCCCUGCUGUGAAAGGCAAAGGGCAAACUUUUCCAGCAGGGCUGUGUUGCAAGACCUUGGAUUGCAGACACAUGUGCAGAGACUGGAUGUUUUAUACAAGGAAACACAAAUCUGUGUUUCUGCGUAACCAGAUGAACUACCUCAUUUAUUAAAUUUGCCUUCUGAUUCUUUAGAGCUGUCCUUUAGGUAUCUGCCUGUAUGUUUUUUGGCAAAACAAUUAAUAUCUGAGUGCCACCUCAACUAGGAUUUUGAAAAUAAUUUAUAAUCAUAGUACAGAGGAUCAAAAAGCCAUAUCAAGUCACUUUGUUAAGAAGGAUAAAUCUUUAUUGAAUGAAAUGACUCCACUAGUCUUGUUUUCUCUUUUGGUACUGAGAUGUAAUUAUCUUACAUGUAAACACUGCACCAAAUAAAUCUUUUUUUUUUUACAAAUA
Molecule: long non-coding RNA, 953 nt
Organism: Lepidothrix coronata (blue-crowned manakin)
Lineage: Eukaryota; Metazoa; Chordata; Aves; Passeriformes; Pipridae
Exons: 2
Source: RefSeq, a predicted model, not a curated record